This is a long non-coding RNA of Anolis carolinensis (green anole), 2739 nucleotides long. RefSeq lists it as uncharacterized. The record is from RefSeq and is a predicted model, not a curated record. NCBI's taxonomy places the organism in Eukaryota, Metazoa, Chordata, Lepidosauria, Squamata, Anolidae. The transcript has 4 exons.
GAGUUCGAAUCCUCUACAUAUUGGUGGCAGCAGGAAUAAAAACCUUUCCAAUUCUGGCAAAUUUAAAAGAAUCCUCUCCAUUCUAUAUUUUCGAAACCCCCAUCCUCCAUAACAUGCAACUGGUAAUCCAGUGGAAUACCACCAGUGCAGAAUCACAAGUCAUCCAAACUGAACACAUACCGAGUGCUUGCCAGGUGCUUUUUGUUUACCACCACUUGUUUGUGUCCCCAGUUGCUCUCAGUUGGUGUUGAUUGCUCUUCUAAAUAUUCAUCUAGUAGUACUUAUGAAAAAAGACCAUCACAACUCAAGCACUAUUGCCCUUCCCUCCGUCAUCUUUUAUUGUAGCAUGUAUUGUCUCUCAACUAUUUAGCUAUUUUAGAUACCUGCUGAUUGACCUCUCUUCUAGCAAUUGCCUGUCAAAUCUUCUUUCAAAGUCAUACAAACUAGCAGCCAAUCCAUCCAUCAUCAUAAAUCAUGUUUAUGCAAUGAUGAUGUGGGAAAAUGUAUAGAGUAUAGAUAAGUGCCACAAAGCCCUCUAUCGUGUAGAAUAGGGCUGGGUAUGUGCAUGCUUGUAGCAUAAAUUGGCCCCUUAGAGCGUUUGAGGUGCCAACCUUUCCACAUAUCAAAACACCUCUUAUUUUUUUUAGCAAAAAGUGUGACUCUCUCUUCUGAAAGCCUCUAGGAGUUGCAAUUCAUAUAUACAAUUCAUACAUUGUUUAAUAAACACACAAAAGUUAUACAAAACCCAAAGUAGGCUUUUUACCACUUGUGGUGUUUAAACUUGCUCCAUAUAUGAAGGUUGAAUGAAAAGUAAUGCCUCCACCUUCGUUAUUUGGGUUUGGAUGGGAGUAUUUUAAUAAAUCAAACGCAGAAAUAAUCCUUAGAAUGUGCUCUUUAACUACCACUAUUCACUUUUCCACAUAAUCACCAGACAAUUGGAUACAUUUCUGCCAAAGAUGAACAAGUUUUCUGAAACCAUCAUGGAAGAAGUCAAUACUCUGUUUCCGCAACCAGCGUCUCGCAGUAUCCAUCGUGCACAGAUCUUCCAAUAGCCAAGCAAAGCAAUAAUGUGACCCACACAUUCUUGUGAAAUGCCGAUUAUGCUUGAAAUUUCUCUCUGAGUGAUACAACUAUCAUCCUGAAUCAAUCUGUCAACCUUUUGCUUGUAAAACCCGGUGGUUGCUGUCACAGGACGUCCAACUUUUUGUUUGUCACGCAAAUCAGAUGUUCCCACCUCAACAUCUUUAAAUUUACUUGCCCAACGACGCACAGAACUCACAUCAACACAAUCACCAUAAACAGCUUGCAUUCUCUGAUAAAUCUCCUUUGGGGUGACACCUUCUGCUGCCAAGAAUUCAGUGACUGCACGUUGCUUAAGUCGCAUUGACCAACCGUCUGCGCAGGGUUCUGUACUUUGCACUUUAACAACACAACUGUUCAGUGCUAAGGCUUUGCACCAAAUUGAACUGUAGAUGAGAGUCUACUGAACAAGCCAGUACCUGCUGCAUACCAGUACUGCCAUCUGAUGAGGAGUUACGAAGGUGGAGGCAUUACUUUUCAUUCAACCCUCGUAUAUGUGCAUUAUGGAGAAGAAAUUGAGAGUCCUAUGCAGGCCCCUCUGGUAAGCUUGGGCGGGGAAUGAUGGGGGGCUGCCCCCCCCCCAACAGGAAAGCCUUGGGUUUGGGUUGGGGGUGGGAAGUGAAACUCGCUUCAUCUUAGAUUUUAGGUUAAUGUAGAAGGGCCUUGGAAGACCUACAGAAAAGGAGUAGAAAUUAAAGGUAUGGAUCACACAGAUCUGUUGCUAGGCAGCAGAAUGCAGCAGCAGAAGUAAUGGGAAGCUAUAGGAAAAGAAUGGAAAGCAAGAAAAAAACUGUCAUAAUGGAAUGGUGUAGGGGAGUGAUUUAUCAUGACCUUCCAGGGUAUGAAGCUCUUCAGUCCUGAAAGGCUGAUGUCGUCCCACCCCCAAUUGAGUUGUGUCUCUUUUGGAAUGGAAUAGGUUGGCAGAAGCUGGGGCUAACAGCAGGAGCUCAUACCACUCCCUGGAUUUGGACCAAUCAGUCUUGGAGCAGAAUUGUGCAGUACUCCUCUUGAGACUUCCCUCUGGUUUAAUACACAACCGCUGACAAUUACUCUUAUUUUUAGUGGAAAAAUCCUACUCCAGACUUGAUGUGCUGCAGUCGAGUUUUGCAAUAAAAUGCAAUUGGAGCACUGGACAAAAUAGAGAAACAACAUGCAACUGAGAUUUUGCACAGGGAUCAUCUACAUUUAAAUAAAAUGUCUUGUUUGCAGAUCCUUCUGAUUUCAUUGUGUCCUGUUGUUGGUGACAGACCUGGAGUUCGUGUUACCUGAGAAUCUUUGACUUGGACUGACUUCUCGUGAGUGUGGCUUUCUCCCUCCCUGGAUUGUGGACUGACUUGACGACGACUUUGUUUGACGGACUUGGAAAUGACGUUUGUUUGGGCUUCUUCGGCAACGACUCUUGGACUACGGCUGGCUUUGGCAACUCCUUCUUUGGGGACAGCGCUGUCUGUUGGUACUCUUGUGUACAGCGCUGCAUGUUUGCUGGUUACUUUGACUGCUUUUUAAUCCGGGUUUUCCUUCUGUUUAGCCCGGAUUAUUUUCCGUUUGCCUUUUGGAGACCAGUUUGGGUAAAUUCUUUGAGUUUUGGCCAGAGACACUGAAGUUAAGUGUCUCUGAGCUUUUAUUUGUUUUUUGCAAUAAACCUUUUGUUGGACUAAA